AAGCGGCGCACGGGUGAGUAACACGUGGGUAAUCUGCCCUGGAGUGGGGAAUAACACCGGGAAACCGGUGCUAAUACCGCAUACGAUAACGGUGUCUGCGGAUGUCGUUAUGAAAGGAGCAAUUCGCUCUAGGAGGAGCCCGCGGCUGAUUAGCUAGUUGGUGAGGUAAUGGCUCACCAAGGCUACGAUCAGUAUCCGGUCUGAGAGGACGGUCGGACACACUGGAACUGAGACACGGUCCAGACUCCUACGGGAGGCAGCAGUGGGGAAUUUUUGGCAAUGGGGGCAACCCUGACCAAGCAACGCCGCGUGGGUGAUGAAGUAUCUCGGUACGUAAAACCCUUUCGACGGGGAAGAAAGCCGCAAGGCUUGACGGUACCCGUAGAAGAAGCCCCGGCUAACUCCGUGCCAGCAGCCGCGGUAAUACGGGGGGGGCAAGCGUUGUUCGGAAUUACUGGGCGUAAAGGGUGCGUAGGCGGUUCGCUAAGUUGGAUGUGAAAACUCUGGGCUCAACCCAGAGCCUGCAUCCAAUACUGACGAGCUAGAGUUCUGGAGGGGAUAGCGGAAUUCCUGGUGUAGCGGUGAAAUGCGUAGAUAUCAGGAGGAACACCGGUGGCGAAGGCGGCUAUCUGGACAGAGUC
This 641-nucleotide ribosomal RNA is filed under the name uncultured bacterium. RNAcentral describes it as "bacterial SSU rRNA". It matches the Rfam family "Bacterial small subunit ribosomal RNA", at positions 93 to 740 of the family's 1533-position model. The record is from RNAcentral.